RNAcentral lists this long non-coding RNA (1804 nucleotides) under Gallus gallus (chicken). The record is from RNAcentral. Lineage: Eukaryota; Metazoa; Chordata; Aves; Galliformes; Phasianidae.
CGCGCUCUGCCGGAAGGCUCCGGCUUUCCCGGCAAACUUUUACUGGGACGCGGAGGCGGCCCGGGCAGCGUCUCUCGGUUACAGGUGGCGGCGGCUCCGGGUGCCGGUGCGGGCGGCACGAGCGGGGCGAAGCGGCGCGGCGUCGGGCGGGCCCUCAGGGCCGACCUCAGGCCUCGGGCGGCCCCCGGGCGCCGGGCGGCGCGGAGCCGGGCGGGAGGCGGCGGUGCUGCUGGCGGCGGAGCGGCGCGGAGCGGCCUGCCUCAUCCCCGGCGGGCCCGCGCGCCCCGGUGCCUCAUGAGUCACGGUGCCGGAGCCGCCGAGCACACGUGCGCGGCCCCGCGCGGCCGCCUCCGGCUUCGGGAGGGGAAGGAGGAGGCGGGGGGGGGGGGGAGGCGGCGGUGGAAGCGGCUCCGCGCAGCGCCCGCCUCGGGCCGGGCCGGGCCCAGCGCUGCCGUCCGGGCGGCGAACCGGGAGCGGCUCCGCGCCCUCCGCCCGGCCGCGCUGCCCGCGGGAACGAAGCGGGGCGCGCACCCCUCGCUCUGCCCCGCCAUCCCGGCACGGCGCCGCCGGGGGUUCCUUUCGAGGCGGCCCCGCGGGGUUCCCCUCCGCUCCGCGCCCACCGCGCCGCACGGGAGCGGUACCCGGCCCUGCGAGGAGCGGAACGGGGCUCCUCUGGAGACAUCUCCUCCAGUCGCGCAGAACCCAGACGGUGUUCAAGAGCCGUGGCGGGGCGGCUCUGCUGGAUGCGGCUCGAGCAACUUGCAGGACCACAGAUCGGGCAGGCACAACGGGAACGUGUCCCUUCGCACGAGGCUCAUCUUCACACCCCAGUGUCCGUCAACACAACCUGCCAAACCCCGCGCAGGGAUGUGGAGGCUGAAGGCAGCCCACGAGCACGGAGCGGCCCGCAGCACCGCGGCACACAGCCCGGUGCCACCGGCACGGCCCCGGGGCAGCAGUGCGCAGGGAGGGCCAGGGUGGCUCUGCAGAGUCCGAGCUGGAAGGGCGGCAGCAAUCGCCCAAGGUUUAAAGAAAGCGUGAGGAGCAGGAACCUUGUCUCUGAGGUGCAGAAAACAAGACGAAGGCCUUAAACUGCUCUAAGAGAGAAUCAGGCUGCACUUAGAGACAAAAGACAGCUGCCAAGGAUAGCAGGCCCAGGGCGAGGAGCGGCUCGGUACGCCGGGUCCUGCUCUGGGCCAGGGGAGCCGAGUGACCUCUGUGGCCCCUCUCCCAGGUCUGCCCCUGACCCCACCAGGGUUUGUGCUUUUGGGACUGUCCUCAUACACCGAGCAGCUGCUCCAGCCGAGGCGUACAGCACACCUCUGAUGGCCUCAAUUCGCAGUGUUUUUUGUCCUUUUCCAUAAAACAUUCACAGGUCUUUGAAAAUCAUGUUUUCCAGUUGCCUACUUUCUAUUUUGCUGUUUUAAUAAAAUCAGUGGCAGAAUUCUCUUUGCCUUUUGAUUUCCAAGCAGCAGUCACAUCUGAGCCAAACUUAUCCCCAAACCUCACAACUAUCUGCACCGAUUCCAGCUGUUUGCUUUAAGGUUUUAUAUUCUAUGGAACAUUGAUGCGCUGAUAAUAUGAAGUGCACUUGAAUGGAUACACGCAUACACCUUCCGAAACCUCACUGUCAGUUACACGUUUGUCCCUCAAACCUCACACUUCUGUUUUCUCCCAGAGGAGCCCCCCAGACAAGUGUCUCCGUAGGGAAGGCGCUGUGUGCCCACACCUCCCAUCCCCCAGGAGCACAGCUGUGGGGCAGCCAGCCCUAUCUGUGCCCCCGGGGCUGUGCUAUGCUGUGCUG